Molecule: long non-coding RNA, 1375 nt
Filed under: Phasianus colchicus (ring-necked pheasant)
Lineage: Eukaryota; Metazoa; Chordata; Aves; Galliformes; Phasianidae
Description: lncRNA (ENSPCLG00000001022.1)
Source: RNAcentral
UUAAUGGCCUUUGCAUAUUCUUCCUCCAUCAUGGCAUAACCAAUUAACAUAAGCAGUUUUAAAAUAUGGCAGUACUACAGCAACAGACUGAUAGUUCAAUGCACUCUGCAGUCAGUAAAAAAUUCUAUUGCAUUAAAGUGUUUUUCCAUAAUCUUUACCACUUUAUAUCUUGAAAGUUAAUAGCUGAAUAAAACUUUAUAUGUCUAAUCCAAUGAGAAGAUGCAAUCUAGUGACGCAAGUCUGUUUUAAUUUUACUGGAGAGGGGAAAGAGAAAGCUCACUCAGGCUGCUGAUGUUUUGCAAAGGGGUAAUGAAUCCAAUGUGCUGUGCAAACAGAAGACAAUGCAGCUACCUCUCGUCCUAUGUGCACUACUCACUUCUACAGUGUUUCUAUGCAACGAGGAAAAUGCUCUUAGGAAGGGGGAAGGAGGGGAUUCUGUGUAUCAUCACUAUUUGGAGGAAAAUAUGUAUCUAGAAAAAUUAAUUGAAGCAGCAGAUUGGAGACUUUUCCCACAUGUACAGAUCAAACAUUCCCUGAAGUGUGGUAGAAGGCAGGAAGAAUGACACUUGCUAAUUUGAAUUUCAGAACACACCUAAACCGCAUUCUGAUCUCCAGGCUUCUUUGAGGGUACAGACGAUGAAGAGCAGGAGCCUAGAGAAAGACUACUUCCGUACAGAAGCUUACAUCAGCAUCAUUUGCAGAAGCAUCCCUACGUUACCUGAACUCCUAAACUGUCUGCCACAGGACUAUCUGCCAUAGACACCACAGGAACUGGAUUAGAUACUUAUAUGUUUUUCUUUAAUGAUUUUAAAAAAAGUAUUACUGAGUGAGUGCCUUUUAAAUUUUGGAGAGACUUGGUGUUUUCUUGCACGGAUGGCAGAUUUGUAUGCUUGACAUCUUGGUGCCUCCUCAUCUUGCAAACUUUCAGAUACUAAUUCAAAACACAGAAGCACAAAAAUUUGUCAAAGAAUUACUAGAAUGAGAAUUCUGACCUGAGAAAAAGAACUUGUUUUUCUCUUACCCUUAUUCAGGGAAAUUGAUAUGUAUUUGUGACUGGCUUCUUCCCUUUUCCCUCCCUAGAGAAGAAAUUAAAUGCCAACUAUAUGACAUUGUUUAGAUAUAUGAGGUAUUUGGGGGAUAACAAAGAAUAUGGAAGAGGAAAGAUAAAAGCAAUUUGGAUAAGACUUAUGGGAAGUUGAAAAAGCAGGGUAAAGUUUGUCUCCAAUAAUGCUGAAUCUGUUUGUAAAUAGAUGUGUCUUUCUAAACAAUUUACUCUAAAGUCUCACUUUGUGUACUCAUUGGAAGCAAAUAUGAUCUUUGAAUUAAUUCCAUUUUAGGAUAAAGAAAAUAAACCCAGUAAAGUUGUUUGUCUCCA